CGGAACGGGUGAGUAAUACAUCGGAACGUGCCCGAUCGUGGGGGAUAACGAAGCGAAAGCUUUGCUAAUACCGCAUAAGAUCUACGGAUGAAAGCAGGGGACCGCAAGGCCUUGCGCGAACGGAGCGGCCGAUGGCAGAUUAGGUAGUUGGUGGGAUAAAAGCUUACCAAGCCGACGAUCUGUAGCUGGUCUGAGAGGACGACCAGCCACACUGGGACUGAGACACGGCCCAG
This 233-nucleotide ribosomal RNA is filed under the name uncultured bacterium. Its description in RNAcentral is "partial 16S ribosomal RNA". It matches the Rfam family "Bacterial small subunit ribosomal RNA", at positions 100 to 334 of the family's 1533-position model. The record is from RNAcentral.